UCGAGGAUCUUCGGCAAUGGGCGCAAGCCUGACCGAGCGACGCCGCGUGUGCGAAGAAGGCCUUCGGGUUGUAAAGCACUGUCGAGGGGGAGGAAAGCCCGCAAGGGUUUGACCUAUCCCUGGAGGAAGCACGGGCUAAGUUCGUGCCAGCAGCCGCGGUAAGACGAACCGUGCGAACGUUGUUCGGAUUCACUGGGCUUAAAGGGCGCGUAGGCGGGCCGUCAAGUCUGUGGUGAAAUCCCCCGGCUUAACCGGGGAAGUGCCGCGGAUACUGACGGUCUCGAGGGGUGCAGGGGCAUGUGGAACUUCCGGUGGAGCGGUGAAAUGCGUAGAUAUCGGAAGGAACGCCGGUGGCGAAAGCGACGUGCUGGACACCUACUGACGCUGAGGCGCGAAAGCCAGGGGAGCAAACGG
This 414-nucleotide ribosomal RNA is filed under the name uncultured bacterium. RNAcentral describes it as "bacterial SSU rRNA". It matches the Rfam family "Bacterial small subunit ribosomal RNA", at positions 355 to 775 of the family's 1533-position model. The record is from RNAcentral.